AUCGAUGAAGAACGCAGCGAAAUGCGAUAAUUAAUGUGAAUUGCAGAAUUCAGUGAAUCAUCGAAUCUUUGAACGCACAUUGCGCCUCCUGGUAUUCCGGGAGGCACGCCUGUCCGAGCGCCAUUACACCCCCCAAGCCUUGCUUGAUGUUGGGCCAUGACGCGCUGUCAAGCCCCAAACCUUUAGGCGCCCCCCACUGGCCGCGAGCGUAGCAAGAAUUUUUUCCCUCGCUUCGCGUGUCCGAUGGGUGGGUCGCCGAUUGACCCCCUAAAUUUUACAAGGUUUGGCCUCGGAUCAGGCGGGGAUACCCGCUGAACUUAAGCAUAUCAAUAAGCGGAGGAAAAGAAACCAACAGGGAUUGCCCCAGUAACGGCGAGUGAAGCGGCAUCAGCUCAAAUUUGAAAUCUGGCGUCUUCGGCGUCCGAGUUGUAAUUUGUAGAGAGUGUCUCGGGUGGAGCACCGGUCCAAGUCCCUUGGAACAGGAUAUCAUAGAGGGUGAGAAUCCCGUAUCCGGCCGGUCCCCUCCCCCGCUGUGAGGCCUCUUCGACGAGUCGAGUUGUUUGGGAAUGCAGCUCUAAAUUGGAGGUAAAUUCCUUCUAAAGCUAAAUACUGGCCAGAGACCGAUAGCGCACAAGUAGAGUGAUCGAAAGAUGAAAAGCACUUUGAAAAGAGAGUCAAACAGUACGUGAAAUUGUUGAAAGGGAAGCGUAUGCGGCCAGACUUGUCCCCAGUUGCUCAGCCCGUCUUUUGGCGGGUGUACUCUUCUGGGGCCAGGCCAGCAUCGGUUUGGGCGGUCGGAUAAAGACGUUAGGAAUGUGGCCCCCCUCGGGGGGUGUUAUAGCCUGGCGUGCAAUGCGAUCAGCCCGGACCGAGGCCCGCGUUCUGCUAGGAUGCUGGCGUAAUGGCCGUAUACGGCCCGUCUUGAAACACGG
This 932-nucleotide ribosomal RNA is filed under the name uncultured Ascomycota. RNAcentral describes it as "eukaryotic LSU rRNA". The stretch from base 285 to 932 matches the Rfam family "Eukaryotic large subunit ribosomal RNA", at positions 1 to 664 of the family's 3401-position model. Lineage: Eukaryota; Fungi; Ascomycota. The record is from RNAcentral.